This 649-nucleotide ribosomal RNA is filed under the name Clostridioides difficile. RNAcentral's name for it is "partial 23S ribosomal RNA". It matches the Rfam family "Bacterial large subunit ribosomal RNA", at positions 260 to 912 of the family's 2925-position model. The record is from RNAcentral. Lineage: Bacteria; Bacillati; Bacillota; Clostridia; Peptostreptococcales; Peptostreptococcaceae.
CGGAUUAGCCCAAACCAAUAAAGUUUUCUUUAUUGGGGUUGCGGACAUAUCAUAACGAAGAGGUAUCGUAAUUGAAGAGGUUUGGAAAGACCCACCACAGAAGGUAAUAGUCCUGUAUGUUAAACGAGAAGACUUUAGAUAUGAUCCAGAGUACCACGGGACACGUGAAACCCUGUGGGAAGCAGGAGGGACCACCCUCCAAGGCUAAAUACUACCUAGUGACCGAUAGCGUAUAGUACCGUGAGGGAAAGGUGAAAAGAACCCCGGGAGGGGAGUGAAAUAGAACCUGAAACCCUGCACUUACAAGCUGUGGAAGCACAUUUCUUGUGUGACCGCGUACUUUUUGUAGAACGGGCCAACGAGUUACGUUAAGUAGCAAGGUUAAGCACUUAAGGUGCGGAGCCGUAGCGAAAGCGAGUUUUAACUGAGCGUUCAGUUACUUGACGUAGACCCGAAACCGGGCGACCUACCCAUGAGCAGGAUGAAGCGAAAGUAAAAUUUCGUGGAGGUCCGAACCCACGAGCGUUGAAAAGCUCGGGGAUGACUUGUGGGUAGCGGUGAAAUUCCAAUCGAGCCCGGAGAUAGCUGGUUCUCCCCGAAAUAGCUUUAGGGCUAGCCUCAAGGUGAGAGAUACGGAGGUAGAGCACUG